GAGGGUAUAGCUCAGUGGUAGAGUCGUGCUUAGCAUGCACGAGGUCCUGGGUUCAAUCCCCAGUACCUCUA
Molecule: transfer RNA, 71 nt
Filed under: Camelus bactrianus (Bactrian camel)
Lineage: Eukaryota; Metazoa; Chordata; Mammalia; Artiodactyla; Camelidae
Also listed under: 2 other names
Rfam family: tRNA
About the family: Transfer RNA (tRNA) molecules are approximately 80 nucleotides in length. Their secondary structure includes four short double-helical elements and three loops (D, anti-codon, and T loops).
Source: Rfam by way of RNAcentral